RNAcentral lists this ribosomal RNA (459 nucleotides) under uncultured bacterium. Its description in RNAcentral is "partial 16S ribosomal RNA". It matches the Rfam family "Bacterial small subunit ribosomal RNA", at positions 338 to 795 of the family's 1533-position model. The record is from RNAcentral.
CCUACGGGUGGCAGCAGUGAGGAAUAUUGGUCAAUGGCCGGGAGGCUGAACCAGCCAAGUCGCGUGAGGGAAGACGGCCCUACGGGUUGUAAACCUCUUUUGUCAGGGAGCAAGGUGCAGGUCGGGACCUGCUGUGAGAGUACCUGAAGAAAAAGCAUCGGCUAACUCCGUGCCAGCAGCCGCGGUAAUACGGAGGAUGCGAGCGUUAUCCGGAUUUAUUGGGUUUAAAGGGUGCGCAGGCGGAAUGUCAAGUCAGCGGUAAAAUUUCGGGGCUCAACCCCGUCGUGCCGUUGAAACUGGCGUUCUUGAGUGAGCGAGAAGUAUGCGGAAUGCGUGGUGUAGCGGUGAAAUGCAUAGAUAUCACGCAGAACUCCUAUUGCGAAGGCAGCAUACCGGCGCUCAACUGACGCUCAUGCACGAAAGCGUGGGUAUCGAACAGGAUUAGAUACCCGGGUAGUC